CUUUUUGCGGUCUGGGCUUUC
This 21-nucleotide microRNA is filed under the name Callorhinchus milii (elephant shark). Its description in RNAcentral is "Cmi-Mir-129-P4_5p (mature (guide))". RNAcentral also lists the same sequence under 7 other names. Lineage: Eukaryota; Metazoa; Chordata; Chondrichthyes; Chimaeriformes; Callorhinchidae. The record is from RNAcentral.